This 253-nucleotide ribosomal RNA is filed under the name uncultured bacterium. RNAcentral's name for it is "partial 16S ribosomal RNA". It matches the Rfam family "Bacterial small subunit ribosomal RNA", at positions 524 to 776 of the family's 1533-position model. The record is from RNAcentral.
UACGGAGGGUGCAAGCGUUGUCCGGAAUCACUGGGCGUAAAGGGCGCGUAGGCGGCUCAUGAAGGCUGUAGUGAAAGUCCGGGGCUCAACCUCGGAUCGGCCGUGGCGACUCGUGGGCUGGAGCACUGUAGAGGCGGGUGGAAUUCCGGGUGUAGCGGUGGAAUGCGUAGAGAUCCGGAAGAACACCAGUGGCGAAGGCGGCCCGCUGGGCAGUGGCUGACGCUGAGGCGCGACAGCGUGGGGAGCAAACAGG